ACGCUCGACACCUACGGGAGCAGCAGUAGGGAAUUUUCGUCAAUGGGGGGAACCCUGAACGAGCAAUGCCGCGUGAGUGAAGAAGGUCUUCGGAUCGUAAAGCUCUGUUGUAAGAGAAAAAGGGCGCAUAUAGGAAAUGAUAUGCGAUUGAUGGUAUCUUACCAGAAAGCCACGGCUAACUACGUGUCAGCAGCCGCGGUAAUCUGAGCGGGCUGGCAAGGC
RNAcentral lists this ribosomal RNA (222 nucleotides) under uncultured bacterium. RNAcentral describes it as "partial 16S ribosomal RNA". It matches the Rfam family "Bacterial small subunit ribosomal RNA", at positions 328 to 539 of the family's 1533-position model. The record is from RNAcentral.